UACGUAGGGUGCGAGCGUUAAUCGGAAUUACUGGGCGUAAAGCGUGCGCAGGCGGUUUUGUAAGCCAGAUGUGAAAUCCCCGGGCUUAACCUGGGAAUGGCAUUUGGGACUGCAUUGCUGGAGUACGGAAGAGGAAGGCGGAAUUCCCGGUGUAGCGGUGAAAUGCGUAGAUAUCGGGAGGAACAUCAGUGGCGAAGGCGGCCUUCUGGUCCAGUACUGACACUCAAGUGCGAAAGCGUGGGGAGCAAACAGG
This 253-nucleotide ribosomal RNA is filed under the name uncultured bacterium. RNAcentral describes it as "partial 16S ribosomal RNA". It matches the Rfam family "Bacterial small subunit ribosomal RNA", at positions 524 to 776 of the family's 1533-position model. The record is from RNAcentral.